RNAcentral lists this ribosomal RNA (253 nucleotides) under uncultured bacterium. RNAcentral describes it as "partial 16S ribosomal RNA". It matches the Rfam family "Bacterial small subunit ribosomal RNA", at positions 524 to 776 of the family's 1533-position model. The record is from RNAcentral.
UACGUAGGGUGCGAGCGUUAAUCGGAAUUACUGGGCGUAAAGCGUGCGCAGGCGGCUUCGCAAGACAGAUGUGAAAUCCCCGGGCUCAACCUGGGAACUGCAUUUGUGACUGCAAGGCUAGAGUACGGCAGAGGGGGAUGGAAUUCCGCGUGUAGCAGUGAAAUGCGUAGAUAUGCGGAGGAACACCAAUGGCGAAGGCAAUCCCCUGGGCCUGUACUGACGCUCAUGCACGAAAGCGUGGGGAGCAAACAGG